RNAcentral lists this ribosomal RNA (489 nucleotides) under uncultured bacterium. RNAcentral describes it as "partial 16S ribosomal RNA". It matches the Rfam family "Bacterial small subunit ribosomal RNA", at positions 29 to 507 of the family's 1533-position model. The record is from RNAcentral.
GUGAGCGCUGGCGGCAGGCCUAACCCAUGCAAGUCGAACGGCAGCACAAGAGAGCUUGCUCUCUGGGUGGCGAGUGGCGGACGGGUGAGGAAUGCAUCGGAAUCUGCCCAUUUGUGGGGGAUAACCUCGGGAAACCGGGACUAAUACCGCAUACGACCUACGGGUGAAAGCAGGGGAUCUUCGGACCUUGCGCAGAUGGAUGAGCCGAUGCCGGAUUAGCUAGUUGGAGGGGUAAAGGCCCACCAAGGCGACGAUCCGUAGCUGGUCUGAGAGGAUGAUCAGCCACACUGGGACUGAGACACGGCCCAGACUCCUACGGGAGGCAGCAGUGGGGAAUAUUGGACAAUGGGCGCAAGCCUGAUCCAGCCAUGCCGCGUGUGUGAAGAAGGCCUUCGGGUUGUAAAGCACUUUUGUUGGGAAAGAAAAGCAGCCGGUUAAUACCCGGUUGUCAUGACGGUACCCAAAGAAUAAGCACCGGCUAACUUCGUG